RNAcentral lists this ribosomal RNA (414 nucleotides) under uncultured Funneliformis. Its description in RNAcentral is "partial 28S ribosomal RNA". Lineage: Eukaryota; Fungi; Glomeromycota; Glomeromycetes; Glomerales; Glomeraceae. The record is from RNAcentral.
GAGAGUUAAACAGUACGUGAAAUUGUUGAAAGGGAAACGAUUGAAGUCAGUCAUACCAACGGGAAAUCAACCUUUUGAGCUCGGUCUCGUGGGUUUUGAAGAGUUUCAAAGCCUUCGGAUUCGCGGGAUUGGGAUCUCUUGGUGUACUUUUUCGUACGGUUAGUCAACAUCGGUUUUGAAUGUCAUAAAAUGACUGGAGGAAUGUAGCUUCGAUCUCGUAUUGAAGUGUUAUAGCCUUUGGUAGAUGUGAUGUUCGAGACCGAGGAUUGCAACGGAUACCCUUCUGGGCUAUUCGUCUGAUCUCUGAAACGUUGCCUUGAUGUCGAAAGCUUGCUUACGGUUAUCAAAGUCGAUGGUCAAUAGGUUAGAACGGGUUAAAUUCGUUAAGGAUGUUGACGUAAUGGCUUUAAACGA